This 465-nucleotide ribosomal RNA is filed under the name uncultured bacterium. RNAcentral describes it as "bacterial SSU rRNA". It matches the Rfam family "Bacterial small subunit ribosomal RNA", at positions 198 to 644 of the family's 1533-position model. The record is from RNAcentral.
GGAGAAAAGCAGGGGAUCGAAAGACCUUGCGCUUUUGGAGCGGCCGAUGUCUGAUUAGCUAGUUGGUGAGGUAAAGGCUUACCAAGGCGUCGAUCAGUAGCUGGUCUGAGAGGACGACCAGCCACACUGGGACUGAGACACGGCCCAGACUCCUACGGGAGGCAGCAGUGGGGAAUUUUGGACAAUGGGGGAAACCCUGAUCCAGCCAUGCCGCGUGAGUGAAGAAGGCCUUCGGGUUGUAAAGCUCUUUCAGCCGGAACGAAACGGUCACGGUUAAUACCCGUGACUACGGACGGUACCGGAAGAAGAAGCACCGGCUAACUACGUGCCAGCAGCCGCGGUAAUACGUAGGGUGCAAGCGUUAAUCGGAAUUACUGGGCGUAAAGCGUGCGCAGGCGGUUUUGUAAGUCAGAUGUGAAAUCCCCGGGCUUAACCUGGGAACUGCGUUUGAAACUACAAGGCUAG